RNAcentral lists this ribosomal RNA (275 nucleotides) under uncultured bacterium. Its description in RNAcentral is "partial 16S ribosomal RNA". It matches the Rfam family "Bacterial small subunit ribosomal RNA", at positions 334 to 606 of the family's 1533-position model. The record is from RNAcentral.
UUUGCCUACGGGGGGCAGCAGUGAGGAAUAUUGGUCAAUGGCCGUAAGGCUGAACCAGCCAAGUCGCGUGAAGGAAGAAGGAUCUAUGGUUUGUAAACUUCUUUUAUAGGGGAAUAAAGGUAUCCACGUGUGGAUAUUUGCAUGUACCCUAUGAAUAAGCAUCGGCUAACUCCGUGCCAGCAGCCGCGGUAAUACGGAGGAUGCGAGCGUUAUCCGGACUUAUUGGGGUUAAAGGGUGCGUAGGUUGUUUUUUAAGUCAGCGGUGAAAGUGUGGG